RNAcentral lists this ribosomal RNA (524 nucleotides) under uncultured bacterium. RNAcentral's name for it is "bacterial SSU rRNA". It matches the Rfam family "Bacterial small subunit ribosomal RNA", at positions 356 to 896 of the family's 1533-position model. The record is from RNAcentral.
GGGGAAUAUUGGACAAUGGAGGAGACUCUGAUCCAGCAAUUCUGUGUGCACGAAGACGGUUUUCGGAUUGUAAAGUGCUUUCAGCAGGGAAGAAGAAAGUGACGGUACCUGCAGAAGAAGCGACGGCUAAAUACGUGCCAGCAGCCGCGGUAAUACGUAUGUCGCGAGCGUUAUCCGGAAUUAUUGGGCAUAAAGGGCAUCUAGGCGGAUAUACAAGUCAGGGGUGAAAACUUAGGGCUCAACUCAAAGCUUGCCUUUGAAACUGUAUAUCUAGAGUGCUGGAGAGGUGGACGGAACUACACGAGUAGAGGUGAAAUUCGUAGAUAUGUGUAGGAAUGCCGAUGAUGAAGAUAGUCCACUGGACAGCAACUGACGCUGAAGUGCGAAAGCUAGGGGAGCAAACAGGAUUAGAUACCCUGGUAGUCCUAGCUGUAAACGAUGAUUACUGGGUGUGGGCAUGAAGAGUGUCUGUGCCGAAGCUAAUGCGAUAAGUAAUCCGCCUGGGGAGUACGACCGCAAGGUUG